Molecule: small nucleolar RNA, 74 nt
Organism: Anser brachyrhynchus (Pink-footed goose)
Lineage: Eukaryota; Metazoa; Chordata; Aves; Anseriformes; Anatidae
Source: Ensembl
UGUGAUGGGAUGAAAUGUUUGACUGGUUACAUGAUGAAUAAAACAAAAUCACCAUCUUUCGGCUGACAGUCGUG